Molecule: ribosomal RNA, 1609 nt
Filed under: uncultured bacterium
Lineage: Bacteria
Description: partial 16S ribosomal RNA
Rfam family: Bacterial small subunit ribosomal RNA
Source: RNAcentral
AGAGUUUGAUCCUGGCUCAGAUUGAACGCUGGCGGAAUGCUUUACACAUGCAAGUCGAACGAUGAACCCUAGCUUGCUAGGGGGAUUAGUGGCGAACGGGUGAGUAAUAUAUCGGAACGUGCCUUGUAAUGGGGGAUAACUAGUCGAAAGAUUAGCUAAUACCGCAUACGCCCUGAGGGGGAAAGUAGGGGAUCUUCGGACCUUACGUUAUAAGAGCGGCCGAUAUCUGAUUAGCUAGUUGGGUGGGGGUAAAUGGCCUACCAAGGGCUUCCAAUCAAUAGCUGGGUCUGAGAGGAACGACCCAGCCCCCACUGGGAACUGAAAACCGGGUCCCAAAUCCCUACCGGGAGGCAGCAGUGGGGGAAAUUUUGGACAAUGGGCGCCAAGCCUGGUCCCGCCCUUCCCCCGGGAAGGGAAAAAAGGCUUUCGGUUUUAAAAGUUCUUUUCCCAGGGAAAAAAAAUUUAUUUUUUUAAAAAAAAGGGGGGGUUAAGGGACCUUUUUUAAAAAAGGCCCGGGUAAAUUCUUGCCCGCAGCCCCGGGAAUAACCUAAGGGGGGGGACGUUUAUUCGAAAUUUUUGGGGGGUAAACCCGGGGCCCGCGGUUUUGGAAGUCACAAAUGAAAAUCCCCCACCUCCACUUUUGGAAACGGGGUUUGAAACCUCCCCAACUAAAAAUAGUUUCUAAGGGGGGGGAAUUUCCCCCUGUUUAAUUGAAUGCCGUAAAAUGUGUGAGAAAACCAAGGGGAGAGCGCCCCCCCCGGGAAAAAUUUGAUCCUCACCGCCCACAAAGAGGGGGGGGACACCGAAUUAAUAACGGUGUCUAGGUUCCCGCCCCCACGCCAUAAAAACUGUUUGUUUUUUAUUGUGGGGGGGGGAGAAAAACUCCCGUGUAUUAACCCCAGUUCACCCGUAAAAUUUAGCCCCCCCCGGGGGGAAACACCGCCCCCCAAAAAUUAAAAACUCAAAGGGAAUUUGGGGGGGGGCCCCCCCCAAAGGGGGGGUUAUUUGGGGGUUUAAUUUGGGACCAAACCGGAAAAAAACCUUUCCCCGGCCUUUGCCAUUCCCCUUAAAGGAAGGGAAGGAGUUCCUUUGGGGUCCCUUAAAGGAAAAAAGGGGACCCCGGGUCCCCCCAUGGUUUUUUAUCAAGUUGGUUUCGGGGAGAUUUUGGGUUUAAUUCCCCCCAACGAAGCGCAACCCUUUCCCCUUAAUUUCCCAUUCAUUUUAUUGGGGCACUUUAAAUGGGACGCCGGGGGCAAAACCCGGGAGGAAGGUUGGGGGAGGACUUCAAGUUCCUCAAGGGCCCUUUAUGGCCAGGGGCUUCCCCACGUAAUUACAAUGGUCGGUACAGAGAGUUGCCAACCCCGCGAGGGGGGAGCUAAUCUCAGAAAGCCGAUCGUAGUCCGGAUUGUUCUCUGCAACUCGAGAGCAUGAAGUCGGAAUCGCUAGUAAUCGCGGAUCAGCAUGUCGCGGUGAAUACGUUCCCGGGCCUUGUACACACCGCCCGUCACACCAUGGGAGUGGGUUUUACCAGAAGUAGGUAGUCUAACCGCAAGGGGGACGCUUACCACGGUAGUAUUCAUGACUGGGGUGAAGUCGUAACAAGGUAACC